This is a non-coding RNA of Pelobates cultripes (western spadefoot toad), 1073 nucleotides long. Lineage: Eukaryota; Metazoa; Chordata; Amphibia; Anura; Pelobatidae. The record is from the annotation of a GenBank genome assembly.
UUUGGAUUACCUAUUGGCAGUAGAGGGAGGUGUAUGUGGGAAGUUUAAUCUAAGCAAUUGUUGUCUUCACAUAGAUGAUGAAGGGCAAGCAAUAGCUGAGCUUACUAGCCAUAUGGUUAAGCUAGCACAUGUACCUACUCAGGUAUGGAAAGGGUAUAAUCCGAGUAGUUGGUUUGGUAGUUGGUAUGAGCAGUUUGGGGGAAUCAAGGCAUUGGUAGGUGGAGUCAUACUGAUUUUGAUGUUGUGUCUCCUUCUGCCAUGUCUGAUUCCUUUGGUAAUUAGGUCUAUGCAGAGCAUUAUAGAAAGUAUAGCAGAAAGAAAGGCCGCAGCACAGGUAAUGGCUGUUUGCAGGUAUGACGCUCUAGAUCAAGGAGAAUACAUGCAGGAAGAGGAAUGUUGAGGGGUUCGUAUCUUUAGAGGAUCGCAAAGUCUAGUCUAGUUUAUGGCAACUUGAGGUGUAAGCAAACUAUGAUUGGUGAUGCAUCUGGAAUUAUUUUAAAUCAGAAGCAUCAAAGGGGGGAAUGUGAUGGAAUUCCAGUAAAAUACAAGUUUAGCAGGACAAGAUUGCCACAAGGCAUAUGUAGGUACAUGUGUUUGUAGUAUCAGUUAGUUACACGUAGCUAAGAUACUGUCAUCACUGUACUGAGCAUGUGCAGGAAUGCAGGAACUGGAAUUACGCGUUCCUCUCCUUUGUUUCAGAUGAGCCACGUGGUUAGACCGGAUGGAUGAGUUUAGACUCUAUUCAUUGAUUAGGUUAAGGGUAUGUGUGGGCGUAGCUAAUUAUGGGAGAAGAUACAGUGCUAUAUAAGAAAUGUACUCUAUGUAUUCAGUACUCAGAUCUUUGCUGUUUUUGGUGACAUAAGUCCCUCUGAGUGAAUCAAAUAAAGAUCUCUUCCUUCCUGAAGAAACCUGUGUCCAUCUCUCUGUGCUUGGCCUCCGUCAGUUUCCCGGUAACAGGUGUACCAAUCUUUAUAAUUUAAAGGACCACUAUAGUGCCAGGAAAACAUACUCGUUUUCCUGGCACUAUAGUGCCCUGAGGGUGCCCCCACCCUCAGGGACCCCCUCCCGCCAGG